ACUUUCUCCAUCUACCAAGAUGAGGGAGCGGGUGGGAGGCGGGAAGGCUGCCCCAAAAGGGUCUUUAACAUCCCUUCCA
This 79-nucleotide microRNA precursor is filed under the name Saimiri boliviensis boliviensis (Bolivian squirrel monkey). RNAcentral's name for it is "miRNA (ENSSBOG00000019183.1)". The record is from RNAcentral. Lineage: Eukaryota; Metazoa; Chordata; Mammalia; Primates; Cebidae.